Pan troglodytes (chimpanzee) is the source of this 117-nucleotide non-coding RNA. It matches the Rfam family "Metazoan signal recognition particle RNA". From Rfam's summary of the family: The signal recognition particle (SRP) is a universally conserved ribonucleoprotein. Lineage: Eukaryota; Metazoa; Chordata; Mammalia; Primates; Hominidae. The record is from Rfam.
GCCGGGCGCGAUGGCUCAUGCCUGUAAUCCCAGCAUUUUGGGAGGCCGAGGUGGGUGGAUCACCUGAGGUCAGGAGUUCAAGACCUGCUUGGCCAACAUGGUGAAACCCCAUCUCUA